Molecule: long non-coding RNA, 977 nt
Filed under: Oryzias sinensis (Chinese medaka)
Lineage: Eukaryota; Metazoa; Chordata; Actinopteri; Beloniformes; Adrianichthyidae
Description: lncRNA (ENSOSIG00000009039.1)
Source: RNAcentral
CUCUGUUCUUGAACAGUUUAACACACUACGUCUGUGUUACAGCUGUCAUCCGACACUAUGGAGGUAUAAGGAAAUGGGAGUGAUGAUAGUGGAACCAGAACAGGCUUGACUGCUGCUCUGGGGGGUUUUAGAUGCUGAACUGAUGCUGGUGGUAAGGUGCUGGGGGCACAGACAGAGGCAGUGAGAAGAUUCAUGUUUAGCGGCCAAAGUGAAAAAGUGGACUGCUGGUUUAAGCACCCGACCCAGGUCCCUGCCUUCAGGGCUUCGACAUCAGUGCUGACAAAAAGCCAUGAAAAGCACUGAGAAAUGUUUCAUCGGUCACGACACAUUAUGCAGCCGGACCCAGGUCAUCACUGCUUUAACAACUGUGCUAAAGAAUAAGCGCUUGGCAGAUGGGAGAGACUGUGGCUUGGAUCACUGUAGUGAAACCAGACCUGACAUCCAUUUCCUUGGCCAGUGGAAUCAGUGUUACCAUCUAAAUAUCCAGGAUCUGCUAAGAGCUGUGAGGUCACUGCAGAGGUGGGACUUCUCUGACCUCCUCAAUGUGUGUUUCAUUUAUACAUAAUAAAGUUGAAUUGCUUUGACUGGUGCCCCUCUCUUUUUCUGCUCAGGUCUUUUGCAACACACUCAGUCGUCACAUCCCUGUGUCCGGUGUGUCCUCUGUCAGACUGUUUUCCACUCCCACUGACCUUUCAUUCUGCUCACACAUCUGUCCUCUCAGUGGACAGGCCUUUGCAUGGUGGUGCUUCUCAUGUUCAACGUGAUCAAUACAAAGAGCAGGGAGUUCGCACACAAUCUCCCACUGACUAAACGAGAAGGAUUAAAGGCUGCAGAUGCCGCCAGGUGGGUGUGGGUGUUCUUUAUGUCUUUGUUGUCUAAAAUAUAUGUGCGUAAAAGCCAAAAAUCACUGUGAGCACACUCAGACACACAUUUUCUGUUUUAUAAGCCAUGAAGAGGAAAAGAGGCCAGAAAGGAAU